This 540-nucleotide transfer RNA is filed under the name uncultured Prochlorococcus sp. RNAcentral describes it as "partial 16S-23S ribosomal RNA intergenic spacer". The stretch from base 213 to 285 matches the Rfam family "tRNA". Lineage: Bacteria; Bacillati; Cyanobacteriota; Cyanophyceae; Synechococcales; Prochlorococcaceae. The record is from RNAcentral.
CAGGGAGACAACAAAAUGUUUAAUAUUAUUAUUUUGUCACCUUAGGUCGAUCGGUAUCUCACAUUCUUAAUUUAUUGAGGAUUUUAUUUCCUAAGUUUUUUCUAGGUCACACCCAUUACUUUUCCUGGGCCAUUAGCUCAGGUGGUUAGAGCGCACCCCUGAUAAGGGUGAGGUCCCUGGUUCAAGUCCAGGAUGGCCCAUAUCUCUAUGUUGGGGGUAUAGCUCAGUUGGUAGAGCGCCUGCUUUGCAAGCAGGAUGUCAGCGGUUCGAGUCCGCUUACCUCCACUGAUUACCACCUCUUCCAUAAUUUUUAUCAAGGAAAUGUUUUGAGUAGUGAUCAAAUUCUGAACGAAUCUAGCUUCCUAAUGAAAUCAUUAAGAUGCUGGACUCAUUGAAUUAAUUUCAUUGUUUUCAGAGAACCUUGACAACUGCAUAGAUUAUUUUUAAAGACAAUAAGCAUCUUUAUGAUGCAGAUUUAUUAUUUGUGCGAAUGCAUUAAUAACAAUUCUAUUAAGCUGAUGCUUCAAUUAUGAAGUUAUU